UAACUAAUAACCACAUGAAAACAAGAACACUCUCAGGUAACCAUUAAAGGUCACCAACGACUAAAGUAACUAGUAACCACAUGAAAACAAGAACACUCUCAGGUAACCAUUAAAGGUCACCAACGACUAAAAUAACUAGUAACCACAUGAAAACAAGAACACUCUCAGGUAACCAUUAAAUGUCAUCAACGACUAAAAUAACUAGUAACCACAUGAAAACAAGAACACUCUCAGGUAACCAUUAAAGGUCACCAACGACUAAAGUAACUAGUAACCACAUGAAAACAAGAACACUCUCAGGUAACCAUUAAAGGUCAUCAACGACUAAAGUAACUAGUAACGACAUGAAAACAAUAACACUCUCAGGUAACUAUUAAAGGUCAUCAACGACUAAAGUAACUAGUAACCACAUGAAAACAAGAACACUCUCAGGUAACCAUUAAAGGUCACCAACGACUAAAGUAACUAGUAACCACAUGAAAACAAGAACACUCUCAGGUAACCAUUAAAGGUCACCAACGACUAAAGUAACUAGUAACCACAUGAAAACAAGAACACUCUCAGGUAACCAUUAAAGGUCAUCAACGACUAAAGUAACUAGUAACCACAUGAAAACAAGAACACUCUCAGGUAACCAUUAAAGGUCAUCAACGACUAAAGUAACUAGUAACCACAUGAAAACAAGAACACUCUCAGGUAACCGUUAAAGGUCAUCAACGACUAAAGUAACUAGUAACCACACGAAAACAAGAACACUCUCAGGUAACUAUUAAAGGUCAUCAACGACUAAAGUAACUAGUAACCACACGAAAACAAGAACACUCUUAGG
Molecule: long non-coding RNA, 829 nt
Organism: Mytilus californianus (California mussel)
Lineage: Eukaryota; Metazoa; Mollusca; Bivalvia; Mytilida; Mytilidae
Exons: 5
Source: RefSeq, a predicted model, not a curated record